GUUAUAACAAUGAGAAACGGUAAACAAUUUGGCAAAUAAAUGACUUAUAAUUGUGCUUACCUGGUCCAGAUGAUCCACAGUCCCUUUGCAUUUGUUAUAAUCCAGGAUGAUGUGGGGCUUUCUCUUCCCAGAGUCCUGGACUUGUAGCUCACGGUGCCUGGUGCUCAAUAAGACAACCUUUUUUCUUUGCUUGGGGAUGUAGGAAACCACAGCCUUGCCCCCCCCGUAGCGACCUGGACGGGAGAGACGAUCAUCGAAUCUUACUGCCCGAUUAAUUUGCUCAAAUCUUUUUUUUGACAUGGUAGCAUGAAACAGAAGAGCCCUGUCUACGGUGUACAUUUUAGGACAUCGUCAGGUGUCAGGAAAAAAGUUGUCAGGUAUCAGUCUCACAUGAAAAAAUGUCAGGUCUCAGCCUCACACAAAAAAAUGUCAGGUCUCAGACUCACACGAAAAAAUGUCAGGUCUCAGAAUCACAUGAAAAAAUGUCAGGUCUCAGCCUCACACGAAAAAAUGUCAGGUCUCAGUCUCACACAAAAAAAAUGUCAGGUCUCAGACUCACAUGAAAAAAUGUCAGGUCUCAGUCUCACACGAAAAAAUGUCAGGUCUCAGACUCACAUGAAAAAAUGUCAGGUAUCAGUCUAGGGUUGCCAACCGUCCCUUAAAAAACGGAAUCGUCCCAUAUUUAGAAACAAAAGCACACGUCCCGUAUUGAGCUAAUAAGGGACGCACUUUGUCCCGUAAUACAGUGAGAAUCAAAAGUAGUCUAUAAAUGUUAAUGGAAUUAACACUUUGUUUGAAAACAUAAUUCCCAGCCCCUCUCCUGCUUUGUGACCAAUGAGCUGACAGCACACUUAUGACAAUUCGAGUAUGACAAUUCAGAUUACCGCUCAUCUCAUUGGUCGAGGAAAGGUCGCUUACAGAGAAAAUACCGGAAGACAACAGAUGACCACAACAAGAAGCAUGGCCAACAGGGAAACAAACGCCGACACUGCGGUGCAAGUCUCGGACGACAGUACACCUAAAGCUGGGCAGACACUGUGCGAUUUUUUUCAGUCACGUUAUUCAGCUCCUGCUCAAACUGCACGAUUGACUCGCAGGGGUUAGAAGUUGGUAUGUCACGAUGUACUCUCACACUAUACGGCCCGAUGCUCUGAUGCGACCUGAGUGCUCACACUGUGCCUCCAUAACAUGAAGCUUAUAACAGAAAAUCUGUCGCUCGCUCGCUCUCUCUGUCUCUCACUCACACAGAC
Astatotilapia calliptera (eastern happy) is the source of this 1250-nucleotide long non-coding RNA. NCBI's taxonomy places the organism in Eukaryota, Metazoa, Chordata, Actinopteri, Cichliformes, Cichlidae. The record is from Ensembl.